RNAcentral lists this long non-coding RNA (739 nucleotides) under Mytilus galloprovincialis (Mediterranean mussel). Lineage: Eukaryota; Metazoa; Mollusca; Bivalvia; Mytilida; Mytilidae. The record is from RNAcentral.
GUUCAAGUUUACUUAAUGAAUUUUAAUAAAGAAAGAUACAUAUGAAAAACAUUUAUUGCUGUUUCUCUCUCCAUUUAUAACAUUUUAUUUGUUUAUUUUGUGUAUUUAUAGGUGAUCAGACAUCUUGGUUUUCAUGAUCAAUAGGUCAUUACUGAAGAGGAAACUUAAAGUUGAAAUUUAUUUACAAAGUGCAUAAUUGGAUUAAUUUGAACUGGAAUGUGUGCUUUCCUGCAAAAAAGAAACAGGAAAUUUCAUCAUUAUCACAUGAUAAUGCCCAUAAACAAAAUGGAGUUCUAUCAUAGAUACACAAAAACACUAUUGCAUAAAAGCAACAACAUAUUAUAUAUAUUAUUCGAAAGAAAGGAGAAUGCAGAACAAAUACUAUUUUGUUGUUGAAAAAAGGAACACCAGUUUUAUCCACUCAUUUACAUCGCUCCCUCAUAUCAAAUAUACGGAAGAAGAUCAUUGAAGAACAAUUUGCAAAAAUGUUUUCUCUUAGAAUUGAAGGAAAAUGUUAAGUGAAUGGAAUAAUGUAUUCACUGAAUUCUUACGUAGUGGAUUGAAUAACUGUACACAAGCUGAAACAGAAGAAAAUUUUAAUUUAAAAUAACACGAAAAGUGUAUAUUUUAUUAUUUAAUCUGCAAAUAUAUAAACAAAUUCUUUAGAACACCACAAAUGGUAUGACAUUCAAAUUGGUUGCUUAUUAAUGUAUUGCAUUGAAACAAUUACAAAGAAAAC